Molecule: ribosomal RNA, 472 nt
Filed under: uncultured bacterium
Lineage: Bacteria
Description: partial 16S ribosomal RNA
Rfam family: Bacterial small subunit ribosomal RNA
Source: RNAcentral
GACGAACGCUGGCGGCGUGCUUAACACAUGCAAGUCGAACGAUGAACCCGGAGCUUGCUCUGGGGGAUAAGUGGCGAAAGGGGGAGUAUCACGUGAGUAACCUGCCCUGGACUCUGGGAUACACGUUGGAAACGACGUCUAAUACAGGAUAGGACCUUGGAUCGCAUGAUCUGGGGUGGAAAGAUUUUUCGGUCCGGGAUGGACGCGCGGUCUCUCAGCUUGUUGGUGAGGUAAUGGCUCACAGAGGCGUCGACGGGUAGUCGGCCUGAGAGGGUGACCGGCCACACUGGGACUGAGACACGGGGCAGAAGCAUACGGGAGGCAGCAGUGGGGAAUAGUGCACAAGGGGCGAAAGCCGGAUGCAGCAAAGCCGCGUGCGGGAUGACGGCCUGCGGGUUGUAAACCGCUUUGAGUAGGGAAGAAGGGCUUCGGCUUGACGGUACCUGCAGAAAAAGGACCGGCUAACUACGUG